UGGGGAAUUUUGGACAAUGGGCGAAAGCCUGAUCCAGCAAUGCCGCGUGUGUGAAGAAGGCCUUCGGGUUGUAAAGCACUUUUGUCCGGAAAGAAAUCCUUGGCUCUAAUACAGUCGGGGGAUGACGGUACCGGAAGAAUAAGCACCGGCUAACUACGUGCCAGCAGCCGCGGUAAUACGUAGGGUGCAAGCGUUAAUCGGAAUUACUGGGCGUAAAGCGUGCGCAGGCGGUUUGCUAAGACCGAUGUGAAAUCCCCGGGCUCAACCUGGGAACUGCAUUGGUGACUGGCAGGCUAGAGUAUGGCAGAGGGGGGUAGAAUUCCACGUGUGANCAGUGAAAUGCGUAGAGAUGUGGAGGAAUACCGAUGGCGAAGGCAGCCCCCUGGGCCAAUACUGACGCUCAUGCACGAAAGCGUGGAACGCAAAGCAGGAUUAGAUACCCUGGUAGUCCACGCCCUAAACGAUGUCAACUAGUUGUUGGGGAUUCAUUUCCUUAGUAACGUAGCUAACGCGUGAAGUUGACCGCCUGGGGAGUACGGUCGC
This 543-nucleotide ribosomal RNA is filed under the name uncultured bacterium. RNAcentral describes it as "partial 16S ribosomal RNA". It matches the Rfam family "Bacterial small subunit ribosomal RNA", at positions 355 to 889 of the family's 1533-position model. The record is from RNAcentral.